This 70-nucleotide transfer RNA is filed under the name Camelus bactrianus (Bactrian camel). It matches the Rfam family "tRNA". Rfam says of the family: Transfer RNA (tRNA) molecules are approximately 80 nucleotides in length. Lineage: Eukaryota; Metazoa; Chordata; Mammalia; Artiodactyla; Camelidae. RNAcentral also lists the same sequence under 2 other names. The record is from Rfam by way of RNAcentral.
GGGUAUGGCUCAGUGGUAGAGUGCAUGCUUAGCAUGCAAGCGGUCCUGGGUUCAAUCCCCAGUACUUCCA